GUUUUGUUGGGGUUGAGUUCCAUGAAGAAGAAGCUCACUGAGUGUGAUGCCUUAACAAAAGCAGCACACGUCCUACAAAGAAGUAAGGGCACAUGGACAUCCAGCCAUCUUGAAACCUGCUCUGCAAGGCAUUCAUACCCACAAGGAAAGAUGAAGGUGAAGAGCUGUGUCCUGGUGGCUAUUGCUUCUGUAACAACCGCUCAGAUGAGCAAUUUCCUUUCUUCUACAUUUCAUUUUGCUUUGGAGGCUUUGAGACAAACUCUGCAGGAGUAGAGGGUUAACGUCUUAAAACCGGGCAGUUUCCAGAGAAGAUAAGUUCUCCAUGCUACCAUGGGAAGAAGACCUAUGGAGAAGGGAGUUGAGAAGUGAGCUGUUCCCAAUGAGUGCCGUGCACCAUCACUGAUGCUUUAGAAGGAAGCAUGGCCUGUCUUAAGUCCUCCUCUGAGCCAACAAGAAAAUCAAAUAUUAUUUUUAAAGGUAUGCUACAGAAUCUGAUGGGUUUUUUGUGCUUUCAGUGCAAAAUGGGGUAUAUGAAAUGAAGAUUUUAUGUAAUUUUUUUUUUAAGCGAUGUAACAUUGAACAUUUUCAUCCAGGAGUGUCUUACAAGAAAUCCC
Molecule: long non-coding RNA, 614 nt
Filed under: Phasianus colchicus (ring-necked pheasant)
Lineage: Eukaryota; Metazoa; Chordata; Aves; Galliformes; Phasianidae
Description: lncRNA (ENSPCLG00000018678.1)
Source: RNAcentral